GUCCCUGUAGCGCAAUGGAUAGCGUGUUGGACUUCUAAUCCAAAGGUCGUCGGUUCGAAUCCCACCUGGAAUG
RNAcentral lists this transfer RNA (73 nucleotides) under Trichonephila inaurata madagascariensis. It matches the Rfam family "tRNA". Rfam says of the family: Transfer RNA (tRNA) molecules are approximately 80 nucleotides in length. Their secondary structure includes four short double-helical elements and three loops (D, anti-codon, and T loops). Further hydrogen bonds mediate the characteristic L-shaped molecular structure. tRNAs have two regions of fundamental functional importance: the anti-codon, which is responsible for specific mRNA codon recognition, and the 3' end, to which the tRNAs corresponding amino acid is attached (by aminoacyl-tRNA synthetases). tRNAs cope with the degeneracy of the genetic code in two manners: having more than one tRNA (with a specific anti-codon) for a particular amino acid; and 'wobble' base-pairing, i.e. permitting non-standard base-pairing at the 3rd anti-codon position. The record is from Rfam by way of RNAcentral. Lineage: Eukaryota; Metazoa; Arthropoda; Arachnida; Araneae; Nephilidae.